Molecule: non-coding RNA, 104 nt
Organism: Xylariaceae sp. FL1019
Lineage: Eukaryota; Fungi; Ascomycota; Sordariomycetes; Xylariales; Xylariaceae
Source: the annotation of a GenBank genome assembly
GGGUUCGUGGCGCAGCGGUAGCGCGUGUGAUUCCAGUUGUUUGCGUCUCUGGACGCUUUCAGUCUGACUCCACAAGGUCAUCAGUUCAAAUCUGGUCGAGCUCA